This 116-nucleotide ribosomal RNA is filed under the name Fusarium proliferatum. The record is from RNAcentral. Lineage: Eukaryota; Fungi; Ascomycota; Sordariomycetes; Hypocreales; Nectriaceae.
ACGACCAUAGCCGCUUGGAAAACUCAGGAUCCCGUCUGAUCUCCCAUGAUAAGCCAGCGAGCGCCAAAUGAGUAGCUCUUUCGGUGACGGAGGGCGAAAGCUUGGUGUUGUAUGUU